Long non-coding RNA from Anser brachyrhynchus (Pink-footed goose), 398 nucleotides. The record is from Ensembl. NCBI's taxonomy places the organism in Eukaryota, Metazoa, Chordata, Aves, Anseriformes, Anatidae.
GUUUGAAAAGAAGAACUGUGACCAGUAAAGAACAAGAAGAACAAGAUGUAACAUCUUUAUCACUGGGCAAUUUCUAUCUCCAAGCUAAAUAUGAAGAUGCCUCAUGUCCCCAUCUGCCACCUUGAGUCGGUGCUCACAACGAAGCCAACAGAGUUGAACAGAUAUCAAAACAUGGAAAGAAAGAGCUGGACCCUGGCUGAAAGCCUGAGGUGUAGUCAUCUUCACUAUGCUCCAGCAUUCUGAAUAAGGAUGAAAAGAUAAAGCAAGCCAUGGUGAUAUCCUCUAUCAGAAUAUAAACUUGCAACACACAACUUGUUUUGGACCAGUGGAGACCUCUGUCUCCAGCUGCAGCUCUAACAGAAAUAACAAUGAAUAUAAUAAAUGACAAGUACAAGACA